GGGGAUAACGUUUGGAAACGAACGCUAAUACCGCAUGAUAUUAUUGAGCUGCAUGGCUUGAUAAUCAAAGGAGCAAUCCGCUGAAAGAUGGGCUCGCGUCCGAUUAGGUAGUUGGCGGGGCAACGGCCCACCAAGCCGACGAUCGGUAGCCGGACUGAGAGGUUGAACGGCCACAUUGGGACUGAGACACGGCCCAGACUCCUACGGGAGGCAGCAGUGAGGGAUAUUGGUCAAUGGGGGAAACCCUGAGCCAGCAACGCCGCGUGAGGGAAGACGGUUUUCGGAUUGUAAACCUCUGUCCUCUGUGAAGAUGAUGACGGUAGCAGAGGAGGAAGCUCCGGCUAACUACGUGCCAGCAGCCGCGGUAAUACGUAGGGAGCAAGCGUUGUCCGGAUUUACUGGGUGUAAAGGGUGCGUAGGCGGCUUUGCAAGUCAGAAGUGAAAUCCAUGGGCUUAACCCAUGAACUGCUUUUGAAACUGCAGAGCUUGAGUGGAGUAGAGGUAGGCGGAAUUCCCGGUGUAGCGGUGAAAUGCGUAGAGAUCGGGAGGAACACCAGUGGCGAAGGCGGCCUGCUGGGCUCUAACUGACGCUGAGGCACGAAAGCGUGGGUAGCAAACAGGAUUAGAUACCCUGGUAGUCUACGCUGUAAACGAUGAUUACUAGGUGUGGGUGGACUGACCCCAUCCGUGCCGGAG
Molecule: ribosomal RNA, 696 nt
Filed under: uncultured bacterium
Lineage: Bacteria
Description: bacterial SSU rRNA
Rfam family: Bacterial small subunit ribosomal RNA
Source: RNAcentral